This is a long non-coding RNA of Capsicum annuum, 2463 nucleotides long. RefSeq lists it as uncharacterized. NCBI's taxonomy places the organism in Eukaryota, Viridiplantae, Streptophyta, Magnoliopsida, Solanales, Solanaceae. The record is from RefSeq and is a predicted model, not a curated record. The transcript is spliced from 7 exons.
UGUAAAUGCCCAGCAAGGUUCCUCACAUUAUCACAGAAAAAUUUCUUGUGGAGAAGGUCUACUAGGUCUACUUCUUGUAUCAAUUCUUUGGGUGUGCAUUUAUUUUGUGAUUGUAUGAUCUUGGUUCAAAUAUUUCUUUUCAUGUUUGAAUUGGUUCUUCGUCCAAAUUUGUGAAAGCUUAUCUAGUGUAGUUUCACAUAGUGUUGUUUGUUCCAAAGUAACCGGGAUACUUUGAUGAAAGUAGAGCAUGAUUAAUCAGAAGGACAUUAUCUCCAUUGAACAUAUUGGUGGUGGUUGUAUGCGAAUCUAAGUGACUUUGAGCCUCUUUGGAAUAGCUUAUUUUAAGUUAAAAUUACAAUGACUAAAAUAGUCCAAAAGCCAACGAAUUACAUGAAGAAGUUACAACUUGCACAUCCUGUUGGUUGGCUGGCUAUUACAGAUUACAUGGCUAUUUCAACCAGAUCUGCACUUCUCUAUAUGCCUACGAGAUGGAUGCAUAUCCCCUUGGCAUGAUAAAGCUAAAUGAGAGCAUAAAUAUCUUCUAAGGGAUAAUGAUACUUUUAUUUCAUGUCAUCCUAGUUUUGUUCUCAAAAUGCAGGUUAUAUGGGUUCCUGGCUGUUUUGAAAUUGGCGUGGCUGCACAGCAUCUUGGAAAGUCACAGAAGUAUCAAGAAAUACUCUACAUUGGGGCUUCAAGAUUACUACCCUAUCUACCUAAUUUGUUGUAGUUAAAGGUUACCAACCAACCUGCCUCGAAACAUCAUAGGUUUGUAUAAAAAUGAAUCAACAAGAACCUUCAAAAAGUAAUAAAAGAGUAGGGAAUAGGACAUUUAGUAAACCUGGAUCAGUAUCAGCCAUGGCAAAUAGAAAGUGACGUAUGCUGACAACAAAGGAAAUUGUUCAAGCUACACGAUCGGAGAAAGGGAAUCUUCUAAAGUUAAUUGAACAAGAGCACCACAAUAGCACCACCAGUACCACCAUCUAGACAAACUGAAUAGUCAGCAGUAGAGCACCUUGUUGUAGAGGAGUAGCAUGCAGAAGAUAAGCAACAUGUAGAGGAUCAGGUCCAAAUGACAGAUUCAGUCACUCCUACAACAACUGAACAUUUUGAAGCGCAAGGUAAUAUAUAGCUUAGAAAUUUAUUGAAUUCAUUCAUGACCUCUAAUUUCUUCUAUUUUCUUAUAGAUGAAGGGCCUUUAACUAGAAAAACAAGAUGCAAAACACAAAUGCACAAGGUACAUGGCUGGCAAAAGAAAAAAUUGAUCACAUUAAACCAGAACAACCAACCUUUUGGUCCCACGGAUGAAGUUAUAACUGAUUUGGGAACCUUCUUAGGCACAUUAGAAAGGAAAGCAACACUUUUCCCAUUAGAUAGAUUUAAUUGGAGGCAUAUGGAUACCAAACAGGAGUUUAUGGGAGUAUACCUAGGUAAAAUAUGAUAUUCUUGAUGGUACAAAACAUUGGAUUUUGGAAAGAAUUCGAGAAUCUUAGAGAAAGCAUAGAAAUAAUUUGAAGAUAGAUUAUUACGAUCAAUAUGAUGAUGAUGUUGUUCGAUUGAAGAAAAAGCCCAAUAGUGUUCCAGAAUGUCAAUUUUAAAGAACUCCUCGUGUAUUGGAAGUCCGAAAAAUUCUAGAAAAUGUCCAAAAUCAAUACUAAGAAUCGAAAGAAGCUGAUGAAUCUACACACUACUGGAAGAAGAGUUUUGCUUUAGUUCACAAUAAAUUGAAAAAUGAGAAGGGGGAAACUUUGUCUCUAAAGGAGAUGUUUGUGGUCACAAGAGCAAGAAAACCUAAUCGUACAUACAAGUUGUCUAAUGAGGACAUCACUGGUAAAAUUGCUCAAAUAAAGGAAAUAGAAACACAACAGGGAGCAAAUGAACAACCCGUUGAUGUAUUUUCAGCCGUCAUGGGUAUUGAACAUCUAGGAUGUGUAAGACUGCUUAGGAGGGGGGGUUACAAAGACUUCUUUGAAAAGAUUAAAUGGCAUCUCUGGACAAACUUUAAAUUCCACAAAUGAUGUUGUGCAACAAAUACAAGAAAGAAUGCAAAAAAUGGAGGAUCAAAUCGAGGAGCAAAAGAGAAACAUUCCACAAAAAGUUGUUGUAGAUGUAAUUGCUCAACUUUAGAAUAAAGGAAUAAUUGAUUCUAAGAUACUAUCAGAAUUAUCUAUUCCUUCACCAACAGAAUCGACUUCUACACUAGCAUCCAGUCAAAAAAGUCAAGGUGAUCAUGACAUAGAAAAUGGUGGGAACGAAAUUAAUGAACUAUACUUGACCUAAGAGAUCGAUCCAUUGGCUUCAUGUCACACUAGUUGUUGGAAAAACUUGUGUAUGUUUUGAUUGAGAUUGAACACAUUUGACCAAGUAUAUAUACGAAGUUUCAAACAUCUUUUAUUUUUGAACAUUCAAAACUUGUGUAUGUUUUAAUUUUUUUGUGUGGUCAAAAAAUAUUUGGUUUCUUAUUGG